Molecule: non-coding RNA, 80 nt
Organism: Desmophyllum pertusum
Lineage: Eukaryota; Metazoa; Cnidaria; Anthozoa; Scleractinia; Caryophylliidae
Source: the annotation of a GenBank genome assembly
AUACUCCGUAGUUCAGUGGUUAGAGCAUCCGACCGGUGUACAGAAGGUCAUGGGACAGGGUUCGACUCCCGUCGGGGACU